RNAcentral lists this ribosomal RNA (264 nucleotides) under uncultured Herbaspirillum sp. RNAcentral describes it as "partial 16S ribosomal RNA". It matches the Rfam family "Bacterial small subunit ribosomal RNA", at positions 355 to 612 of the family's 1533-position model. Lineage: Bacteria; Pseudomonadati; Pseudomonadota; Betaproteobacteria; Burkholderiales; Oxalobacteraceae. The record is from RNAcentral.
UGGGGAAUUUUGGACAAUGGGGGCAAGCCCUGAUCCAGCAAUGCCGCGUGAGUGAAGAAGGCCUCGGGUUGUAAAGCUCUUUGUCAGGGAAGAAACGGUAGUAGCGAAUAACUAUUACUAAUGACGGUACCUGAAGAAUAAGCACCGGCUAACUACGUGCCAGCAGCCGCGGUAAUACGUAGGGUGCAAGCGUUAAUCGGAAUUACUGGGCGUAAAGCGUGCGCAGGCGGUUGUGUAAGUCAGAUGUGAAAUCCCCGGGCUCAA